AAUACGGCGCUUUAAAUACACACACGUUUCGGCACAUACGUUAGGGUCCCUUGUGGGUUUCGUAUGGGAGGCGUGGAGGCUUAAC
Molecule: small RNA, 85 nt
Organism: Legionella worsleiensis
Lineage: Bacteria; Pseudomonadati; Pseudomonadota; Gammaproteobacteria; Legionellales; Legionellaceae
Rfam family: t44 RNA
About the family: This family consists of a number of bacterial RNA genes of between 135 and 170 bases in length. The t44 gene is found between the map and rpsB genes in all species in the full alignment apart from Shigella flexneri.
Source: Rfam